AUUGAACGCUGGCGGCAGGCCUAACACAUGCAAGUCGAACGGUAGCACAGAGAGCUUGCUCUCGGGUGACGAGUGGCGGACGGGUGAGUAACGUCUGGGAAACUGCCCGAUGGAGGGGGAUAACUACUGGAAACGGUAGCUAAUACCGCAUAACGUCGCAAGACCAAAGUGGGGGACCUUCGGGCCUCACACCAUCGGAUGUGCCCAGAUAGGAUUAGCUAGUAGGUGGGGUAAUGGCUCACCUAGGCGACGAUCCCUAGCUGGUCUGAGAGGAUUACCAGCCACACUGGAACUGAGACACAGUCCAGACUCCUACGGGAGGCAGCAGUGGGGAAUAUUGCACAAUGGGCGCAAGCCUGAUGCAGCCAUGCCGCGUGUAUGAAGAAGGCCUUCGGGUUGUAAAGUACUUUCAGCGGGGAGGAAGGCGGUGAAGUUAAUAGCUUCACCGAUUGACGUUACCCGCAGAAGAAGCACCGGCUAACUCCGUGCCAGCAGCCGCCGUAA
This 504-nucleotide ribosomal RNA is filed under the name uncultured bacterium. RNAcentral's name for it is "partial 16S ribosomal RNA". It matches the Rfam family "Bacterial small subunit ribosomal RNA", at positions 30 to 523 of the family's 1533-position model. The record is from RNAcentral.